This 3032-nucleotide ribosomal RNA is filed under the name Halimeda opuntia. Its description in RNAcentral is "large subunit ribosomal RNA". The stretch from base 2 to 2511 matches the Rfam family "Bacterial large subunit ribosomal RNA". Lineage: Eukaryota; Viridiplantae; Chlorophyta; Ulvophyceae; Bryopsidales; Halimedaceae. The record is from RNAcentral.
CAAAAAUCAAAGUGCUUCAGGCGGAUACCUAAGGACUCAAAGAUGAUGAAGGGCGUAUAAACCUGCGAAAAGUUCUAGUGAGUUGGAAAAAAGCAAUAUAUAGCUAGAAAUUCCCGAAUAGAGCAAUCUUAAAAACUACUGAAUAAAUUCAUAAGUCAGUAAGAAAGAACUUAGUGAACUGAAACAUCUUAGUAACUAAAGGAAAAAAAAGCAAAAGCGAUUUUCUGAGUAGUGGCGAACGAAAAGGAAAAAGCCUAAACACUUCUUAGAAGUGGGUUGUGGGAAAAUAAAUAAAUAAAGUUUAAACAGCUGAAACCUGUACCAGAGAUGGUGAAAGUCCAGUUUUCUUUAUAAAAAAAAACCCCCCGAGUAGCUUGGGACACGUGAAAUCCCUUGUGAAUCAGCGAGGACCACCUCGUAAGGCUAAAUACUCUUGAGUCACUGAUAGUGAAAAGUACCGUGAGGGAAAGGUGAAAAAGAACCCCUAUUGGGGAGUGAAAGAGAUCAUGAAAUCUGGAGCAUUCAAUCUGUAGGAGGGCGUAAGCCUGACUGCGUGCCUGUUGAAGAAUGAGCCGGCGACUCAUAAUUUUUGGCUUGGUUAAAAAAAGAUUUUGAAGCCAGAGUGAAAACAAGUUUAAAAAAGCGAAUAGUCAAAAGUUAUGGACCCGAACCCGAGUGAUCUAACCAUGACCAGGAAGAAGCUAAGAUAAAACUUAGUGGAUGUCCGAACCGACCGAUGUUGAAAAAUCGCCGGAUGAGUUGUGGUUAGCGGUGAAAUGCCAAUCGAACUCGGAGCUAGCUGGUUCUCCCCGAAAUGCGUUGUGGCGCAGCAAAAGAUUAUUAAGGGGUAGAGCACUGUUUCAGUACGGGCCAGUCAAAUGGUACCAAACUGUCGCAAACUCCGAAUACUUAAUAUAAGCAAAAAAGUGAGACAUUGGGGGAUAAGCUCCAAUGUCGAGAGGGAAACAGCCCAGAUCAGCAGCUAAGGCCCCUAAAUAAUAACUAAGUGUUAAAGGAAGUAUCAACGCUGAAACAGCCAGAAGGUUCGCUUAGAAGCAGCUAUCCUUGAAAGAAUGCGUAAUAGCUCACUGGUCAAAUAUUAAAGCGUCGAUGCGCCGAAAAUGUCCGGGACUAAGUUAUUUGCCGAAGCUUUGGGUUCGCAAGAGCGAACGGUAGGGGAGCGUUCUGUUUAAGGUGAAGACUCAUUGAAAAAGAGGUUGGAUUAAACAGAAGUGAGAAUGUUGGCUUGAGUAACGCAAACAUUGGUGAGAAUCCAAUGCCCCGUAAACCUAAGGUUUCCUUUGUAAGGUUCGUCCGCGAAGGGUUAGUCAGGACCUAAGAUAAGACUGAAAAGUGUAAUCGAUGGACAACAGAUGAAUAUUUCUGUACUUAUUUUAAUUGAGUGACAAAGGACAAAAGAGGUAAUUUUUAAUUGGUUGUCCAAUGGUAACAAUGGAAGUGUUCAACAGAAAAUAAAAGCAAAAAAACUUUUAUUCAAUGGAGACAUGAUCCGCUGCUCCGCUUUUGGCGAAGUCAGUCAACUUAAAAUUAUCAUAUUUUCAAGAAAAGUUUGAGACACUUAUCAAUUAAAGUAACCUGUACCGCAAACCAACACAGGUAGGUAAGUUGAGUAUACUCAGGGGCGCGAGAGAACUCUCUCUAAGGAACUCGGCAAAAUGGCCCCGUAACUUCGGGAGAAGGGGUGCCUCAAUCGAGGCCGCAGUGAAAUGACUCAUUGAACUGUUUAUUAAAAACACAGGUCUCCGCUAAGUCGCAAGACAAUGUAUGGGGGCUGACGCCUGCCCAGUGCCGGAAGGUUAAGGAAAUUGGUUAAAUGCUGAUAACUGAAGCCCCGGUGAACGGCGGCCGUAACUCUGACGGUCCUAAGGUAGCGAAAUUCCUUGUCACGUAAGUUGUGACCCGCACGAAAGGCGUAAUCAAAUGAGUACUGUCUCGGAGAGAGACUCGGUGAAAUAGACAUAUCCGUGAAGAUGCGGAUUACUAAUCGUUAGACACGAAGACCCCGUGCAGCUUGACUGUAUCUUGAUAUUGGUUUCCAGUUAUUUUUGUGCAGUCUAGGUGGGAGUGCAUUUUUUGUGCAACAUUGAGAGACCACUCUGAAAUAAUUAGAAUUCUAAAAGUGAUUCCUUGAAACAGGACACUUGACAGUGUCAGGUGGGCAGUUUUUUUGGGGCGAAAUUCUCCUAAAAAGUAACGGAGAUUUGCAAAGGUUCCCUCAAACUGGACGGAAAUCAGUUGUUGAGUAUAAAGGCAAAAGGGAGCUUGACUGUAAGACCUAUAAGUCGAACAGAGGCGAAAGCCGGCCUUAGUGAUCCGACGGUUCCAUGUGGAAGGGCCGUCGCGCAAAAGAUAAAAGUUACGCCGGGGAUAACAGGCUUAUCUUCCCCAAGAGUUCAUAUCGACGGGAAGGUUUGGCACCUUAAUAUCGGGGCUUUUAUAUAGUAAUGUAUAAAGUAUGUAUUUGGCUAUAAGCUGAGAUCUCCGUUUUCUUAAAGGAAUCUAGCAUUUUAUGUGCUUUAAAUCGUUUUGUUACAAAGUUACGUUCAAGACGCAUUUGAAGUAACACACAUAAAUGCGGACAAUCAGCUGGGAAGUUCGAUUUAACGAACCCCUCAACGACUACACGCCAAAGCUCUACCUCAGCUUUGCGGCUUACCCGAAGGGAACCAAAGGCGAGAGAGAUCAAAAAAUAGUCUAAACUCAUAGGCGACUAUGAGCCAUAAUUUUUGGAAUACACAUUAUAUUAAAAAAUCAUGCAAUUUUCUAUAAAUCGAAUAUAAAAAUUCACUUAUAUCUAUACAAACAGACUAAAAAAUUUAACAAAAUAACACUUAUUAGAAAAUAAUUUACAUCCAUGUUUUUACUAUAAAAUACUUAUUAAAACUUAUUAAAAGUAGUGUAUUGAAUAUCAGACGAUGUCGACCUUUCGCAACCUGGGGCGGUAGUACGUCCCAAGGGUUGGGCUGUUCGCCCAUUAAAGCGGAACACGAGUUGGGUUUAGAACGUCGUGA